RNAcentral lists this ribozyme (257 nucleotides) under unclassified sequences. RNAcentral describes it as "Hairpin ribozyme 2 from viruses-like metatranscriptomes". It matches the Rfam family "Hairpin ribozyme 2 from viruses-like metatranscriptomes". The record is from Rfam by way of RNAcentral.
UAAACAGGGAAUUGUUACCUGGGGCUGUCCGUUCUACCGUGAGAUGAGUGCACGAGGGGUCCCAAGACUGCUUCAAUCGGCCGAAUUGCGUAAGACCGACGGCAAGGUACAUCUUUGAGAGUCUUGUCGCACAGGGACGUGCAAAUCCGGAGAAUGGGGUGGAACUCCUCUGAAAUCCGGUAAGCUUCAUAGAGCGGGAAGCCCAAACAGAAUGAAACACGCUGGCAGUUGUCGAGCUGGUGGUAUAUUAUUUCUGA